GAUGAACGCUGGCGGCGUGCCUAAUACAUGCAAGUCGAGCGAACAGACGAGGAGCUUGCUCCUCUGACGUUAGCGGCGGACGGGUGAGUAACACGUGGAUAACCUACCUAUAAGACUGGGAUAACUUCGGGAAACCGGAGCUAAUACCGGAUAAUAUAUUGAACCGCAGGGUUCAAUAGUGAAAGACGGUUUUGCUGUCACUUAUAGAUGGAUCCGCGCCGCAUUAGCUAGUUGGUAAGGUAACGGCUUACCAAGGCAACGAUGCGUAGCCGACCUGAGAGGGUGAUCGGCCACACUGGAACUGAGACACGGUCCAGACUCCUACGGGAGGCAGCAGUAGGGAAUCUUCCGCACUGGGCGAAAGCCUGAAGAAGCAACGCCGCGUGAGUGAUGAAGGUCUUCGGAUCGUAAAACUCUGUUAUUAGGGAAGAACAAAUGUGUAAGUAACUAUGCACGUCUUGACGGUACCUAAUAAGAAAGCCACGGCUAACUACGU
This 496-nucleotide ribosomal RNA is filed under the name uncultured bacterium. Its description in RNAcentral is "partial 16S ribosomal RNA". It matches the Rfam family "Bacterial small subunit ribosomal RNA", at positions 28 to 506 of the family's 1533-position model. The record is from RNAcentral.